CAUUCAUCACUUGGGUACAGACAUCUAUACUUAUUCAACAUGGUAUUAAUCAUAUAUCUCUAUUUUGACUUAGUUAUGGAGUUUGCAUCUCUCUCUAUCUUUAACUUCAAAUUGUCUUUCUUCAACAUUCCUUUAUUUUCAGAACUUACUUUUUUUCUUUUUUUUCUUUUUUUUUCCAGGUGAUAGGCCAUAGCUUACUUUCAGUUAUCACCCUCAUUAAUAUUAAGCUUGUUCCACUAAGUCUGAUAAAAACAGGGAGAAGCAAAAACAACUAUCUUAAUUACAUGCAUCCUCCAACAGCAGGCAGAAACACUCAAAGUUGGGGUCAAAUAAUUAAACCUGCAUAUAUCUCUUAACUUUUAUUCCACUACUCGACCUAUAAAUUAUCAAAGCUAAAGUUCUAAUAGACUUGACACUUUUGGAAUUCCCCAAUCAAAAAAACAAAACAAUAAUUUCUUAGUUCUGAUGGGGAAUAAUUAAUAUGGAAGGGCUUUAAAGAAGAAGAGGUAUUUGGGUAAUACAUGAGUAAAGAUAGGCAGUAUGAACCUAAAACUAGGUUGAAAAGCUUUGUAGGUAAGAAACCAAUCAUAGAAGCUUACAGCAGAAGUUCAGAUUGAGUCAUAUCUAUUUUGCACUGAUUAUAGAUAAGUUAGUUGAGCAUUUAUGUGUUGGUGACAUCUACAAUACUAUGUUAAAGGAAGAGGUGUCCAAUCUACACAUCCACAAUUAGUGACCUGGCAUAAAUUCCACCUCCAAUUAAAAGAUAUGGAUAUAAUGAUUUUAUAGGAAGUACAGGUGAAACACUGGAAUCCAUUAUUACUAGGGUAGAGUGGAAGGAGGGAUGAACUCACAAGACCGCCACUCAUAAAAUUUUCACAAGAGCACAACGUAAGGAAUGUGCUCAGUUGUACAUUCCAAUUGACAAGACUAGGAAAAAUACUAAUGAAAAGUUAUAACCAUGUAAGGAAGCUUUAAAAUAAAAUAAAAAAAGCUGUGAGAAAAUAACUAAUGUGGAAAAUGUAAUAAAAUUACAAAAAUAAGUGCUUUUUUGGAUACACUUCAUGUUUUAUUGUUUUUAAACAAAGAAAAUAGUAGUUUCUAUCCCUUUUACGCAUCCCUAAAUCUGUUACAAAAAGGAUUGAGAAAAUCCAAAGAGAUUUCCUUUGGGGGGGAGGAAGUUUGGAGAGGAAAGCUCACUUAAUUAAGUGGAAGGUGGUUUGUAGCCCUAAGGAGGAGGGAGGAUUAGGCAUCCGAAAAAUAGAUGUAUUGAACAAAGCCUUGCUGGGCAAAUGGGUGUGGAGAUACGCCUAUGAGAAGGAGAAUCUAUGGAAAAGGGUGAUAGGGGUGAAAUAUGGUCAAGAGGGGUGUGGGUGGAGGACUAAGGACGUUUGUGGGCCUUAUGGAGUGGGACUGUGGAAGGAGAUCAUGAAGGAAGCUGAUUGGUGCUGGGAGAGUAUUGUGUUUAAGGUAGGCAAGGGGACCAGAAUUUUGUUUUGGAUGGAUAAGUGGUGCGGUAAUGAGGCCCUUUCUCAAAUUUUCCCUCAGCUGUUUACUUUGGCGGGUCAUAGGAAUGCCAAAGUAAGUGAAGUGUGGGACUCUAGCCUGGGUCAAGGAGGUUGGAAUCUCAGAUUGGCUAGAGAUUUCAAUGAUUGGGAGCUGGAACAGAUAGGAAAUAUGCUGAAUCUGCUGAAGGAUUUCAGGACUUCGACUGAGGAGGAUGCUGUAAGAUGGAAAAGGGAAAGCAAUGGUGUUUUCGGGGCUAAGGGUGCUUACAAAAUGUUGGUUGGGUCCUCAGCCUGUGUCUUCCCGAACAGACGCAUUUGGAUGAAUAAGGUGCCAACAAAAGUAUCUUUUCUUGCUUAGGAAGCUUCGUGGGGGAAGAUCCUCACCUUGGAUAAGCUUCAAAGAAGGGGGCGGCAGCUCCCUAACCGGUGUUUUCUGUGUGGAUGUGAAGAGGAAAAUGCGAAUCAUAUUAUGUUACAUUGUACAGUGGUUAAGACUCUUUGGGAGAUCGCUCUCGCCAUUUUUGGAGUCCAAUGGGUGUUCCCAGAAUCAGUUAUAGAAGUGUUACUUAGUUAGAGGGGUUCUUUUGUGGGGAAAAAAAGAAAAGACACCUGGAAUUCCAUUUCGUUGUGCAUUUUUUGGACGGUUUGGAAGGAAAGGAAUAGGUUAGCUUUUAGGGGGGGGUCUUUAGAUAUACAAAAAUUCAAGAAUUUUUUUGUAUGUAAUUUGUGGAGUUGGGCUAGGGUGUAUAUUGGUGAGGAUACCUAUUCUCUUUUAGGCUUUUUGGAGUGGCUUGCGGUCACUUGAGGGUGGGUGAGGUUUUCCCUCUUUUUUGUUCAGUUCGUCUUUUUGGGCAUUUGUGUAUACCCCCUGUAUACAUGCGGCUUUUUAGCCUUUUCUAAUAUAUUCUGACUGUUUAUCUAUAAAAAAAAAAAACAAAGAAAAUAGUAGUAAUUUUCAUGUAAAAUAUAACAACUCUUAUAUGAAAAGUAUAAACCUACCUCAUGUCUUUAAAAAUUACUUUGUAAAUUAGAGGUAGGUUUAUACCUCAAAGCGUAAAAUCCAAAAUCUUUUUAAGGCAAGUCUCAAAGAGUUCUUGCAUUUUAGACAGAAGUUACCAUUGUUUUCCUUUUGAAAAAAUAAAAAACAAGAAGUGCAUCCAAAAGACACCUAAAUAAUCUGAUGUUAGAUUGACGUCUACAAGAAAUCCAGGAGCAACUAUUUGCAUUAUUUUCUUUUCAUACAUGCACAGUGAUUGAUGAAUCAAAGAGAACAUUCCUUGAAGAACUAAUGCUAUAUGAAUGAACAAGAGAGUUAUGACACAACUAUGAAUACAUCCUGUGUACUUGGAUUGCACCUUUUUUUUGCUAGGCCCCUUCUAAUAAAUCAUUUUUCUAUCAAAAAGAACUACAAUCAUAAAAUCCUCAAAUUUCAAAUUUCUAAAUGUUGCAGCAUGUCAGCCUAAAAAGCACGAGAAUAAGAUGAAUUGAGUACAAAAACUAGAAGGAAUAGAUAUUAAGUCAUUUCCAGCAGAAAUGGGGGCAAAAUAAAGGCCAAUGAUUAAACUAAUUAUGAUUGAAAUGGUUAAAGUAGCAAGUACUAUGAACAGAGGGAAGGUCCAAGGAACGUAAAUCUUAAGAUAGUGCAAAAGAACCUAGUGGCCUACCAUUCUUCAAGAAAAAAUGCACACAAGUCACAACGUAUAAAGAUUAAGAUUCUGAUGGUUGAUGACGUAUGGUUGAGAUUUGAUACCAGAAUAAGAUGCAUACAUAACAUGCCUCAAGCUCAAAACUUUUCAGUGGGUAUGAGGGGUUGCUCAGUGUUUCAUGCGGCACUUUGUUAUUGGGCAAUUUUCUGUGUGUUUGCACGAGUGCCAUCAUGUGUUUGGCUUCCUCAGAAUUUAAAAAAAAAAAAUAGCAUACCUGAAAAGAAACAACAGAAGCAGCCAAAGAAAAGGGUCACUUACCAUUACUCCUUCAGCAGCAUCCACAAUCAAGACAGCACCAUCGGCAAGUCUGAGAGCAGCAGUCAUCUCAUCAGAGAAAUUUACAUGACCUGGAGUGUCCAUGAUGUUACAAAGAUAAGAUUUUGAAUUGCUAUCCUCAAGAACAAGUGACAUGGGAACAGCCUUAAUUGAUAUCCUUCUCUCUUGCUCAUCAAUCCUCGUAUCUGUGUAUCUCAUGUGCUUCUCACUAUUUGAAUCAAAUGUUGAAAUAUGGUGUGUUUGCUCAACCAGCAUGUCCAUGAAUAGUGUCUUUCCAUGCUGUAAAUGUCCGACCAGAGCAACAUUCCGAACCAAAGCUGGGUUUGACAUAAGACCCAAAAGAAACUGGGUUGACACAUAUGUCGACGAAUCCUUCACUCCCAACUCAAACUUAAUAUUCCUAACAGGUUUGAUUAUUGGUUGUUCAAGUGGUUGCUCAUCUUCAUCCAUUACCAAGGUUUCAACAUCUUCACCAUAGACUUCUUCAGCAGUAGGAUAGUACUUUUUGUCUUCAGCAAGGACAAUCUGGUUGUCCAUGUCAACAUCAUUAGAUGCAGUUAUCCACCCAUUAGAGGCUGCAACUGCAUCCUCAACAUCAGAUACCAUUUCCUCUUCAUCAGGCUUGUCAGGGAUGUCCUCAUCUUGAUCAUCUCCAUCACUUUCUCUGUCAGACUCAAUUUCUGGUCCAAUGUAGUUUCCAAAUUCAUCAUAUAAACUGUCAUCCAUGGUUCUUUCAAAUCUGCCACAUUGUAUAACCAAUUAUUAGUAUGGAACAGCAACCACCCAAUCAAGAAAGAGUUGUUUAGGGCAAUGUUCGGUUCACAAUCAUCAAUGGUCUUUGCCCACUUAAGACCAAAUGUUCUCUUAGAGCCUAGGCACGACAGGGAAGCCCAUGGCAUGGGCUCGAGUGAAAUGAUGCAACAUUAAUUAAUGUAAUUUUAUAAAAUUUAAUACGCUAAUACUUGUUGCAUACCAUAAAAAAAUAAGAAAAAAAUAUUCUCAAGAAAUUCAGGGAAAAGAACAUUUCAGUAAUUUCAUGAAGAGUUUCAUUGAAUAGUCUCAGUAAUUUCAGUUUUUAAAAAAUGUAUAAGAAAAAAGGCCAAAGUUUCCAAAGAGUGCACAUGUGAGCUAAAAACAGCCAAGUGUCCAGAAAAUGCAAAAUCAUCUAAGAAAACUUAAGUGAGAAAAAUUAUAAAUAUGUCAUAAUGCAAAUUGUACCAAAAUUUUAAAAGAAAAAUUUUCCAAAAUAUCAGGAAAAAAAAUCUCAAAAAGACAUUUCAGGAAAAAUUAAAAGAGAAAACGAAGAAGUAGAGCGACAAGUGUGUGCAGUGUGACGAAGUAAGAAACAAUGAAACAGAGAGCGUGUCGGAGCGAGUGGUGCAGUUGGGACUUGAAAGUUGUUGGUAUCUUCUCCUCCCCCAAGGAGGAGCAGAAGAGACUUGCAGGAAGAUUAGGAUUAGGGUUACUUUUUACAGAGAAGAGAGAAGAAAUUAAAGAAAUGUCGGGGUUUGGAUCUUUCACCUUUUCUCAAUUUGACCCAAAAACGAAAAAUGAAAUGGGUUUUUGAUUUGGUGAAUCCUGCAUCUGGGUUUCUUUUCUGAUCAAUUUUCCAGUCAUAUUCAAGAUGGCAAACAAUUCAAGGGUUUUAACCUAAAUACUACAAACCAUCAAACAGCUGAUACUAGAAUCAAAAGAAUAACCCGUUUUUGGAUUUUUUUUGCGCAGAAAUUGAAUUAAAAUUACCUAAUCCUUACAGACACGUAUACAUCCAGAGAAAGAGAUAUAGAGAGUACCUGAAGAGGGAGUUACAGGAAGUGAAUCCAACUGAGUGUUCAAGAGUAUUGAAACGAGAGGGUUUAUAGAGGGGUUGGCCACGGCGCGGCUGUCAAGAGGAAUUGGGCCUACACCUGGCUAGAUAAAGCUCGAGCCAUGUAGGUUGGACUGAGUUUGAGCCCAAUGGGCUCGAGUAUGUUGGCCUCCGGUGGCUUACUCUCUGUUUGGAAACUAUUUGGCACUGUACCUUGAAAACAAUGUUCUGUCGAACUUAUGACAAAAAAAUUAAAAAAUAAUAUUUAUUUAUUGAAUACAAAUGUUUAUAAAAUUGAUGGUAUUAAAAUGCUGUAGCAAAAAUAUAAUUGUUGGAAAAAAAACCACAUAUGAAGCAAUUGUCAAAGAAUCAUUUAAGUAAUUACUCAAAUCUACUUCAAAUGAUUAUUUAUAUUUUUAAAAUCAAAUUUAAAAACAUUGUUAUAAAAAACAACUUUUAAACAUUAGGAAAUGUAUAUAGUAUUUACGAAACCAUUCUCAAAUAAACUUCAAUUACCUAUUAAUAUUAACUAUUAUAAUUUUAGAUUAUUUAUUUGAUUUCAUCGAUACCACAAAAUCAUAUUUGAAAAGUCGCAGUAUGUUUCUCAAUUGCCAUUUAAUGGAAAAAGGUUUUGAAUUAUCUUAUAAAAUGCCUAAAAUCUACAUUGGUUGUUCACGGAUGAAUUCUUUUUUCAAGUAGCGAAUGAAAUUACAAAAAAUUGAGAACCAUUAUAUUUUUAUGAUACAAAUGUCUUAACCUUAAGAAAAACAGAGAAAAAAUAAAUAGAUAUAAUUCAAGAGAAAAAACUUUUUUUAAAGAACUCUAUUCAUUUGACUUUUGUCAUAUAAAGAGUGUGUGAGAAAGAUUUUUUUUUUAUUUUAUUUUUUUGUAAUUGUAUAAUAGCAUUUUUGUGUAAUUUUAAUUUCCAUAAAUUGUUUCAUGUUUCUUAUUUUGUUGGAUCGAGUCGAAUCAGUCCACAUGAGCACCCAAACCCAACUCCAACACCAUUAAACCCAUUUUUACAAUCAAUGAAGAUAAAAAAUUAAAUUAAAAAUAAUGAUUGGUAAAAUUAAAAAUUUUGAUAAUGAAAAUGUAUAAUAUAUAAAAUUUAAAAAAUGUUAACUUAUAGAAAAAUUAAACUCAUAGUAAGCUAAUAAAAUAAGAGUAUAUUCAUGUUCUUAAAUCACCUAUAAGAAGUGUAUUUAAUCUUCAACCACAAGUCAGCAAGACUUUAAUAUUACUUCUUUUUUUUUAUCACGUUUUGAAAAAAUAGAAAUAUAGUAAUGAUUACUCCAUGCUAUCAAUUACUAUACAUACAUAUAAUUAUUUACUUAAUUUGGAUUGGAGUUGCUUUAUUUUCCCCCAUACCUAACAUAGAUCACAAAAAGGCCUGCCUUAACCCUUCCAAGAUUGGAUUAAAUUCAGUUAAACCUGUUCAAAUUACAUCCUUAAUUGAUUUAGAGUAUUAUUGACAACGAUUUUAAGAAAUGUUUAUGGUAUUUAUAAUUUUUAAAAGAUAAAAUUUUUUAAGUAUUAAAAAUAUAAAAAUACUUUUUAAAAUUAAUGUUAAAUGCAUUCUUAAAAUUUGUUUAAAAAUGUUAGACAAUUUGUCUAAAAAGUAUUUAAGAAAAAUGCUUUUUAUUAAAAACAUUUUGAGUAGAAAUGAAAAUUUUUGUUAUGGAGUACAUUUACCCGAUCAUCAUCAAUUGUUGAGCAAAAAAUUUAAUGACUUGCUCAUGUCAUAAAAUACGGUAGUCAUGAAAAUAUUAAUAAAUUAUUUAGUUGAAAACAUUAAUUUAAUGAUUUGAAAUGUUACAUGAAUUAUUUAACAGGGACAUACCACCUACAAUCAUAUUAAAAAUCAUGAGAAAUAUUUGAUAAGUAAUUUGUCUAAAAACACUUUAAGAAAAACACUUUUUAUUAAAAACAUUUUGAGUAGACAUAAGGUGAAAAUUCCUUUUAUGGAUUACAUUUACCCAAUCAUCAUCAAUUGUUGAGCAAAAAAUUUAAUGAUUUGCUCAUGUCAUAAAAUACGAUGGUCAUGAAAAUAUUAAUAAAUUAUUUAGUUGAAAACAUUAAUUUAAUGAUUUGAAAUGUUACAUGAAUUAUUUAACAGGGACAUACCACCUACAACCAUAUUAAAAAUCACGAGAAAUAUUUGAUAAGUAAUUUGUAUAAAAACACUUUAAGAAAAACACUUUUUAUUAAAAACAUUUUAAGUAGAAAUAAGGUGAAAAUUCCUUUUAUGGAUUACAUUUACCCAAUCAUCAUCAAUUGUUGAGCAAAUAAUUUAAUGAUUUGAAAUGUUACAUGAAUUAUUUAAAAAGGACAUACCACCUACAACCACAUUAUAAAGUUUGGAAAAGAAUGUCCAUCCAUUGAACAAUGGAAGAAAGUGUGCCACCAUAGAAAACAUUAAUAAGCUCAGUCAUGAAAAUAUUAAUAAAUUAUUUAGUUGAAAAGUCCAUUCUUCCUUGUGUACGCUCAAAGGUCUUAGGUUUGAUGAGUUAAAUUUUAUUUUAUAUCUUAGAAUAAGAAGUUAAAUUGAAAAACCGAGAAUGAGAGAGAAGAGGAAGCCACAAACAUGGCGGUCGCUUCUCACAUUUAUUGUAACACACUUCACACACAUACACACGGAUGAAAGUCCUAGGCCACCACGUGUCACAAAUCACAGAGUCUGAGGGCAUUAUUUAGUAUUUAGUAUUUACUACAACACAACCCAGAAAGCAAAAAAGAGAAUUACAAACACAACCCUCUCAUUCAGCUGCUGGCCGUCACGUCCCUCCAUUCACAUUAUGACUUGUAGGCACGAGUCUCAAGGGUGGGUGGUUAGCGACUUACCAGGGGCGUUGGGGAGGGCCAGGAGGACCGGGAGGACCAUAAGGCCCCGGAGGCGGAGGGCCAAAGGUACCUGGCGGACCCGGGGGUGGCGGACCAGGGGGUGGCGGACCAGGGGGUGGCGGACCCGGGGGUGGAGGUCCCGGGGGCGGCGGCCCGUGGUGGUGUGGGUCGUGUGGUGGAUGAUGCAUCUUCUCUUCUUCUUCAAGGAAGCUGUGGUGUGGCGAAGGGGUUGGAGGGGGCUUCUCAAUUUAUAAUGUAGGGGAUGUGUGAGAAGUGGGAAAUGAGAUGAAAGGCAGCUUAAUUCAUCCUAUGUUUAUCUUUUUUAUCUACAAGUCAAACUUUGAUUUCUUUGAUUUUUUAUUAUUUUUUAGACGGUGUCACCUACUAUUCUAGAAGGCAAAGGGAAAUUGACAUCCAAAUUUUAUUUUCAUUUUAUUUUUUUGCCUCACGGCUCGGGCAUCUAUAAUUAUUUAUUUAUCAAUGUAGAAAAUCCUUGUGGGGAUAAAAGACACGUGAGUUCUGAUGGGGCGGGCCUCCAUCCCCGCAAUUCAAUCUCGCAUUCGCAUUCAUGUAUUAGGGUUUUGGACCACAAUAAUUAAUUAAAAAAAAUCAUAUUUAUAAUGACCUGUAAAAUAAUUCUCAAUUUAAUCCUUUUUUUUACAUGAAUUGUCACGUUCAUAAUUUUUAUUUUUAUUUUUGAGGUGCUUUCCAAUUUUUUAAUUUAAAAAUGACCUCGUUGAACACGUGGUCAGUAUGAAUUAAAUUAUAUAUUUUUAAAAUUCAAAUUAUAUUUAUAAUUAUUCCAAUCUUAUUAUGUAGAUAUUAUCCCAUUUGAAUCAAAAGUGGACAAUAUUUACACAAUUGUAUAUUGAGGAUUUGAUUGAUUCAUGAAGAGUAUUUGUUUACUUGACUUUAUAAUUUUUAAGAAAUGACAAAAACAUUAUGUUUGCAUGUGAUGUUCGUAAUAUUUCACAUAGGAUUGAGAAGGAAGUUAUUAAUUCUAUAUAAAUAUGAAAUUUUCUUAAUCAUGUAAAUGUGUUAUAAAGUUACAAGAAUCCUGUCAUCCUUAAAGAGGAUAAUGCUUACAAAUGUUUCAAAAUUAAUUUUGACUUUGUAGGGAGUGUUUAUCUUUUUGUGAAAAAGGAAAAUUAAAACUCUUUUUUAAAAUAAUUUUAUGAUAUUAAAAAUUAGAAAUUUGAAAAAUAAAAAAUAAUGUUUUGAGAACUUUUGAUGAAAUUAGGAUAUUUGAAUUAUUUUUCUUGUUUUAAUGAGAUUAUUUUUAAAAAUAAUUAUAUAAAUAUAAAGAAUAAUUUAAAAUAAAUUAUUGUAAAUAAAAACUAUUUUUAAAAAUAUAAAAAGAAUAUUUUAAGUGUUCAAACAAAAAUUUGUUUGGUAAACAUCAAAAUUUUGUUUGAAAAGUGUUUUUGAGUUCUAUUCUGAAAAUAGUCUUUAAAAACUAUUUUAUAAUCUUUCUAAAACAAAAGUUUCUGUUUUGACAGCUUGAAAGUUUGAAACACGGAAUUGCAGGCUUAUGCCCUACACGAGCAGGGGAACCUUCUGGAACUCGUGGACCCAAUUCUCGGUUCUAACUACUCUGAAUUUGGAUUUCUUAUGCACCAGCCCAUCUCCCACUCUCAGGCCAAAUUCCGCGUCUUCUGUAGUGAGCACGCUCCAAGGCAAAAUCGCUGUCCAAGCACCAAUAGCCAAGAGGAGCUCAAUGAACCAGGACAUGAGGUUCAAAGCCUUUGAGAGGCUGUCACAGGACAUAUCAUAUUAUGCUUUAUUUUCUUCUUUCAAUUUUUCCUCUGCUUUCUCUGCUACCAAACAAUGGCUUAUAUCAUUCUGCUGGAAAUUCUUUGUCCCUCUAUGCCAUAGCGAACUUGAUCUGAACCCAUAAUGUUUAUGGCCGAGUUGGAAUUCUGGGUAUUUAUUUUUUUCCUUUCUUUAAUUGGUUUGAAACCGGCACUGAAGCCGUAUUUUCAAAUUUUGACUGUUACAUAGGUUUUAAAGCCGCAUUUCCAAGAUGAGUUUUCUCAAUUAUGUAAGGGUUUGUUUGGAAAGUAUUUUUUAGAAUAGUUUCCUGUUUUUCAGAACGAAAAAACAAAGAAAAUGUGUUUGACAACCAUAAACUAUGUUAUGUUUUUUAUUUUUAAGAAUUAAAAAUAUAGUGUUUUAAAAAAACAUUUUUAAUUAUUUUAUAUUAUUUUCAUUUAAUUUUUUAGGGUUAUUUUAAAAAAUAAUCAUACAAAUAUGUCAAAUAUAUAGAAUAAUUAAAAAUAAAACAUUAGAUAUAAAAACAUAUUUAAAAAUAUUAAAAAUAGGUUAAAAUCAUUUUAAGUUUCACAUAGACUUAUGUUCUAUAAGAAUCAUAGAACAAUUUUUUAAAAAUAUUCAUAAAAACUAUUCUUCAAAAUUAUUUUGAAAAAUAGUUACCAAAUAGACUUUUGUCCUAGAUAUGAAAAAUCAUAUAGUUUUUUAUAAAUUGUUUUUAAUUUUUUAUUAUAUUUAUUAUUGUUAUUUUUAAAAAUAAAUUAGUUUAAAAAAUUAAGUUUCCUUAAAUACAAUAUUUACAUUUAUGAUGUAAAUUGAAAUCGAUAUUCAAAAUUUCAUAUAUUAAUUUUCCUUUUGCAAUGAUGUAAUUUCUUCUUAUUUAUUGAAUUUAUAAUUUUAUCAUCUAAUUAUAUAAAUAUAUAAAUUGAGAUCUCAUAUUACUAUGAUUCUAAGUCAUGUGAUGAAAAUAUUUUAUUUAGUUGCUUUAAUUUUAGAAAACUAUCCAUUCUUUCUAUUAAUUAUUAAAUAUUAAUUUCAAAAUUUUAUUUUUAGUAUUUAGUAAAAAACAAAAUAUUUUGACUUUUUCUAUUCAUUCAGAUAAAAAGUUAUAAAAAUAAGUAAUAAAUAAUAAGUUAAAAACAAACAAUUUAAUGUUUGAAAGCAAAUUACAUUCCAAUUAAGUUAAAAAACAAAUACCACUUCGAUAUUUGGUAAAAUUUAAUCCUUAUUAUUUAAUGACUUAAGUCAAAUUAUUCUUAAUAUGUUAACUUAAAAUUUGUUACUUACUUUUUUUUUUAAUCAUUAAAAUUGUUCGAUGAAAUUAACUUCAAAUUUAUUUUUAUUCCUCAAAUUAAUAUAAUUACUUUUGUUAAUUAUAAUUAAUAUUAAUCUUCAUUCAAUUAACUAAUUUAUUUUCAUUAAUUUUAAGCAAGACAUUUCUUUAUAAAACAUUUAUAUUUAAAGUAUUGAUAAAUAAGAUAACCAUAAAAGAUUUAUUAUAAAAAAUGAAUCAUAAAUUUGGAAUUAUAAUUUUAAAAUAUAUUCUCAUUAACAUAUGCAAAUGAAAAAAAAAAAGAUUUUGAGAUUAAGAAUAAGUUAAAUAUUUUGACUUAGUACUUAAAAGUUAUAAUAUUAAAUUAUUUUACCAAAUAUGAUUAAUCUACUUAAUGACUUAAAUUAAGUUGUCAAGUCAUUAAGUAAUUUAUCAAACACCUUGUUGACUUUAAACUUAUUGUUUAUUUUUUAUUUUAAAGUAUUAAGGUUGGUUGGUGAAAUUAACUUAAAAUUUAUCCUAUAUCGUCAAACAUAUUUACCCUUAUUAAUUUUAACUAAUAUUUAUAUUUUCAUUCAUAUUAAGAUAUAAACUUAUUCAUUAAAAAAAUCAUAUUUGAAGUAUUUUACAUAUAUAAAAUAACUACAAAAUAUUUACAUUCAAAAGAUGAGUUUCAAAUAUAGAGUUAUACUUGUAAAAUAUGGAAAAAUGAGAUAAAAAAGAUUUAAGAUUAAGAAUAAAUUACUUAUUUUAACUUACACUUUCUUCUUCUUCUUCUUUUUUUUUUUUUUGAAAUUUAAGUAGUAAUAUUAAGUUAUUUUCCAAAAUAUAUUUAAUUUACUUAAUGACUUAAAUUAAUUUAUUAAGUCAUAUUAAGUCAUUAAGUUCAUUUAUUAAACACCCUCUUAAAAUAUAUUUAUUUAUUUAUACUUAAAUCUAAAUAGAACUUAAUUUUAAAUACAACUUAAUAAUAUCAAAUAUUAAAUUAUUUAUUUUUUAUUAAUUUAUUUUUAUUAAGUAAUAAGUAUUAAUAAGGUGAGGGUCAUGCUAAAAUUGUGUUUUAAUUGUUUUGAAAAGUUAUUUUUAACGUUCAACAAAAAGUCAAAAUAUUUUGAUUUUUUCUAUUCGAUCAUUUUUAAAAAAAUAAGUAAUAAGUUAAAAAAAAAAUCUAAAGUCUAAAUGCAAAUUGCAUUAGACAUUAAGUUAAAAAAGCAAAUACCACCUUGAGCUUGGAACUUAUUAUCAAACUCAAAUAGUUAAUUUCUAAUGCUUUUUGGUUUGCAUGCCCAAUUUUAAGUUAGGCAUUUUAUAUUUUUCUUAACAAAAAAAAUUAUUUUCUAAAUUAAAUUGAAUGACAUUGGCCUUAAACAAUUUAGUUAGUUAUUGUCUAUGAAUCUAAUUGGACUGAACAACAUGAUUUUCAUUUGAGAUUUGGUCAGUAUGAUUCUCAGUGCAUAUAAACCAAUUACAUUAAUUUGAUUAGAUUUUAGUUUUCAAUGUGAAAUAGUUAUCAUUUGUAGUGAAUUUGAGGAAAUAGUAAUUAUUUGUAGUCAGGGAUAUUAGUUAAUGUUCAAAAUGAGAGACUAAUUUGUGGUCUUAGAAAAUGAGAAUAAUUUUUGUCAAGUUUUUAUUUAUUUAUUUAUUUGGAUAACCCAAAUGCCAAAAAUAUAUGUUCAUUUCAAUAUUUAAUAACAAUAAAAAUAAAAUUAGAAAAUAAACGCAUUUUUAUUAUGGUUACAUUUUACAUUUUACUAAACUUUUGCCCAUUUUAUUACUAGCCAAAAUAAAAUAAAAUGUAUUGAAAAUUAUUAUUAUUAUUAUUUGUGGUUUUCUCAAUAAUAAAAUAGAACCUAAUAACUUUGUUAUUAAUAGAAUUAAAAUUUAAAAUACUAAAAAAUUAAAGAGGGAAUGAAGAAUGCGAGAAAUGAUAUGAACAAUGUAAGGAUUAUCAUAUUUUUCAUACAAUUUCUCACAUUCUUUGUAAUUUUAUAAUUUUUUUUUCAGUUAAAAAUAUAAUAAUAUUGUUUAUCCAUAUUAAUUAAGCUUGGAAAUGAUGAAAAUUAUCAUUAAUAAAACAUUAAAUAAUUGUAACUAAAUAAUUGUAGAUGGUAGAAUAAGAAGAAUGUGAGGAAUGAUACAUGAGGAAUCCUUACAUUUUAAUUGGAGAGGGUACGAUCACAUACGAAGAAUGUUAUAAAAAAGUAUGAACAAUAUGAAAAUUCUUCACAUUUUUUUUGUCAUUCCCACAUUCUUGGUACCGUCCAAAAUUUUCUAUUUUUUUAUUUUAAGAAUUUUUUUUCCACUUCCCAAAAAUACUUUCUAUAUUUAAUCCAGUCUUCUCCAUAAAAAAAAUUACAAUUAAUAAUACAAUUUUUAAUUAAUAAUUGAUUGAUCAUAAUUCUAAUUUAAUAAUAAAUACUCAUUUUAAGUUAAUUAUAAAUGAUUUUUUCACGAGGUCUUAGUGUUUAAAAUUUAUAUCAUAAAAGGAUACAAUACUUCUUUGAAGACAUGGAUGCAAAACAAGAAGAGGAUAAGAAGGUAAGCAAUCGGAUUGCGGAAACAAGAGAAGUCGCCUACAAUGCUGAGGAUGCUAUUGAAAAUUAUAAUCUCCGUGAUUUUGCUAGUAAAUGGACCCUGAAAAGAAAAUUGACUUGGUUCUGAUUCCUCUAUUUUUUUAAGAAUACCGAGUCGGGUUCUUCUCCUACCCGUAUUGAAUAGAACAUGCUGAGGCAAAUCUUCUUCACUGCUUGCUUUAGAUCGGGAAAAUCGUAUCGAAUGUUGGAUCUGAGAUUGAGAGUAUUCAAAAAAAAAUAUCUCUGACCUUACAAGAAGUUUAGAAACCUAUGGCAUUAAAGCUGUGAAAGUCUGUGAAAGCUUGACUCGGGCCGUGAAUGUCAACAGACGUAAUCUUAUUCUCAUGUUAACAAAGAGGAUGUUGUUGGGUUGGAUGGUGAAUGAUGAAAGUUGUCUGGUUAUUUCUAGUUGCGGUAUGGGUGGUUUGAGGACACGAGUGUUACGAAUUACUUCCAAGGUUUUUCUUGGGCAUAUAUAUAUCCUGACGAUGCCGCGAAAUCAUGUUUGAAAAGUGGCAACAUGUUUCUUGAUAUUAAACCUAAUUUUGCAGUUCAAACAUAUCCAAAUUACAUCCUAAAUUGAUUUGAGUAUCUUUGAUAAUAAUUUUAAACACUAAGAAGGUUAUAGGGGUUUUAAUAUUUGAAAUAUAAAAAUUUUUAAAUGUUAGAAAAGUUAGAAAUAUUUUUUUAAAAUCAUUGUUAAAUGUCCUAUUUAAAAAAAACAUUUAUAAUCCAAAAAGUGUUUUAAAGAAAAACAAGGUAUUUAGUAAAAAUAUUUAAGAAAUAUUUAAAAAAAUUUUAAAAAUCAAUUAUAGUGUUGAAAAAACAUUUAUAAUAUUUUUUAGAUAAAGAUAUGUAAUUAUCCUUAAAACAUUAAGGUUAUGUUUGGUUCCCGGAAAAUACUAAGGAAAGAAAAAAAAUGCAAAGGAAAAUAAUUUUUUUAUGUUUGGUUGUCCUAUGAAAAAUAUCAAAGAAAAUCAAAUAUGAUUAAAACUAAUUAAAAACUUAUGUAUUUUUAAAUUAUUUAAUCUUUAUAUUGAUGAGUUAAAAUAAAUAAAAUGAGUUUAAAGUAACAAAAAAAAUAAUUUAUCAACUUUUAAUCUAUUUUUUUAUUUUCCUUCACUUUUUCUUUUCCUCUGCUUUUCCUUUGUAUUUUCUUUCCCUUGCAUUUUCCUUCAAAGUUUUUGGGAACCAAACAUAGCCUAAAGAGAAAAUAUUUCUGCUAAAAACACUUCAAAUGUACUCGAAUGAUCAUCAAUUGUUUAGCAAAUAAUUUCAUGAUUUUGAAAUGUUACAUGAAUUAUUUGACAAGGACAUAGCACCUACAACUGCAUUAAAAAGCUUGAAAAAUAAGGUCCCUCCAUUUAACAAUGGAAGAAAAUGUGAAAUCAUAUAUCAAAUUAAUAAGCUCAUGUCAUAAAACACAGGUAGUCAUGAAAAUUUUAAUAAAUUAUUUAGUUGAAAAGUCAAAUCUUCUUUGUGUACACUCAAAGGUCUUGCGUUCCAUGAUUCAAAUUUUAUUUAUUUUUAUCUUAAAAUAAGAAGUUGAAGUUAAAAUAAUUUAGGUCAUUGAUUAAUCUUCAAACAAUUAAUAAUAUUUGUCAUUUAAGUUUUUAGUAAAUGAUGUUUUUAAUUAAUAUUGUUAUAAUGGAUUUAUAUAAUCUUCAUAAUUGAAUUUAUUUAUUAAUUAAAUAAGAUUUCUUUGGAUCUCUCUUGUAAUACCAAAUAUGGAAAUAACUAAUAUUGAGAGUUUUGGAUCAGUGAUUGAUGUGAUACUUAUGUGAUUCGAAGCUAUAUUAAACAUAAAUUUUAAAAAACGACUUAAAAAUUAUAUUUUUAUAUUCCAAUGGCUCUCAAGAGACACGUGACAUGUUUUUUGCACAUAAUUAUUUCAAUUUAUCAUAUCUUUUUUUUUUAACUUGAAAUUAUGAUCCGUUUGAAACAUUAGAUUCAUGACUUCUUGAGUAUCAAAAUCAUAUGUAAUUUGGUGUGAUAAGAGGGUUUAUGGUUGGACAUUUGAAUCCAAACUUCCAAUAUUGAUCUCUUAUAGGAUAUUUUGCUUAUAAUUUUUCUUUAAAAACGACACAAAGAAAAACUGCAAAUGAGAGAGGAGAAAGCCAUAAACAUGGCUUGUCACAUUUAUUGCAACACAUUGCACACACGUACACACGGAUAAGAGUCCUGGGCCACCACGUGUCACCAAAUCAGAGACUCUGAGGGCAUUAUUUACUACAACAUAAACAAGAAAGCAAAAAACAUAGAAUUACAAACACACCCCUCUCUUCCAGCUGCUGGCCGUCACCUCCAUUCACAUGAUGACUUGUAGGCACGAGUCCCAAGGGUAGGUAGUUAGCGACUUAGCAGUGGCGGUGGUGGGGAGGGCCGUGCGGACCGGGAUGACAAUGAGGUCCCGGAGGAGGAGGGCAGUGGUGAGGAGGGCCGUGGUGAGGAGGGCCGUGGUGAGGAGGGCCAUGGUGAGGAGGGCCGUGGUGAGGAGGGCCGUGGUGAGGAGGGGGGCACAGCUGAGGGGGCGGCGGACCGUGGUGGUGGGGAGGUGGUGGACCAUGGUGCGGAGGGCAAUGGGGCGGGGGCGGAUGUCCGUGGUGGUGGUGGUGGUCGUGGUGCGGGUCGUGUGGUGGAUGAUGCAUCUUCUCUUCUUCUUCGAGGAAGUUGUGUUGUGGCGAAGGGUUGAAGGGAGCUUCUCAAUUUAUAGAAGCAAAGCUAACUUUCAUACUAUGUCUAGUCUUUUUUUAACUGCGAGUCAAACCUUCAUUUUUUUAUUUUUUAGACGGUGUCACCUACUAUAAUUAUUUAUUUAUUAAUGUAGAAAAUCCGCGUGAGGAUAAAAGCCAUGUGAGUUCUGAUGGGGCAUUGUCAGGGCCCCUGCAAGUCUCCGUCACCUCCGCAAUUCAAUCUCGCAUUCACAUUGAUGUAUUAGGGUUUUGGCCCACAAUAAUUAAUAAAAAAAAUCAUAUUAAUACUGACAUGUAAAAUGAUUCUCAAUUUAAUCCUUCUUUAUACAUGAAUUGUCGCCACCAUAAACCUUUUUUUUCCGAAGCUUCUUUUCUAUUGAUGUAUUAGGGUUUUGGCCCACAAUAAUUAAUAAAAAAAAUCAUAUUAAUACUGACCUGUAAAAUGAUUCUCAAUUUAAUCCUUCUUUAUACAUGAAUUGUCGCCACCAUAAACCUUUUUUUUCGAAGCUUCUUUUCUAUUGAUGUAUUAGGGUUUUGGCCCACAAUAAUUAAUAAAAAAAAUCAUAUUAAUACUGACCUGUAAAAUGAUUCUCAAUUUAAUCCUCCUUUAUACAUGAAUUGUCGCCGCCAUAAACUUUUUUUUUUUUAAGCUUCUUUUCUAUUUUUCUAAUUAAUAAUUACCUAACCAUGUGGCCAAUCUAGAUUAAAUUAUACAUUUUUUAAAAUCAAAUAAUAUUUGUAACAUUUGGCGUACAAUCCUAUAAAUAUUAUCUCAUUUAGAUUUAAAAUUGACAAUAUUUAUACAGUUGGAUGCAAGUUGUUAUUAAGAGUUUAUUUAGCUCCAUGAGGGAUAUUUGUCUAUUUGACAUAUAAUCUCAUUUAAAAGAUGUUUGUAAUAUACUAUAUUGGAUGUGAAAGAAAAUUAUUUACACAAUAUAAAUAUGAACUCCUUUAAAUCACUUAGACAUAUUUUGAAGUCAUAAGAACCCCUUUAAGCUCAAGAUGAACAUUAUUUAUACGAUUAAGUGCGAAUUAUUACAAAUUAUAUUAAAGUCAGUCCAAUAAUCCUCAAUUUCAAUGUAGGGGGUUUGUUUGGAACUCUUUUUAAAAAUAAAUUUAUGAUAUUAAAAAGUAGAAAAUUGAAAAAUAAAAAAUAAUGUUUGGAGAACUUUGGAUGAAAUUAGGAUGUUUGAAUUCUUUUUCUUGUUUUAAUUUAUUUUUAAAAAUAAUUAUAUAAAUAAAGAAUAAUUUAAAACAAAGUACAGUAAAUAAAAACUAUUUUCAAAAAAUAAGAAAACCAUGCUGAGAAUAUCGUAAGUUUUGAAAUAAAUUUGUCUUUAAAAACUAUUUUAUAAUCUUUGUAAAACAAAAGUUUUUUUUGACUACUUGAAACGUAGAUUGCAAGCUUAUGUCCUACGCGAGGAGGGAAACCUUCUAGAACUCGUGGACCCAAUUCUCGGUUCUAACUACUCAGAAGAAGAGGCAGCAAGGCUGCUGAAUUUUGCUCUCUUAUGCACCGGUCCAUCUCCCACUCUCAGGCCAAUAUCCGUGUCUUCUGUGUUGUCCAAGGCAAAAUCGCUGUCCAAGCACCAAUAGUCAAGAAGUGCUCAAUGAACCAGGACAUGAGGUUCAAAGCCUUUGAGAGGCUGUCACAGGACAGCCUAUCUCAUGUCUCGGCAUUCUCCCAAGAAAGCCAGGUGCAAGGCAGCAUAUCAAUGAACGGGCCAUGGAGCUGCAUAGAAAACUUGGAUUCUCUAUGGCAUAAAUUUCCUGGGAAUUCAUCCUUAAACUCACUUGCAUUUAUAAAAUAAUAAUUUAAUGAUAAAAAAACGGAGUUCAACUUUUCAAAGCUUUUCCUCUUACAUCCCCUCCCCCUUCUCCUCUUAAAUGCUCGAAUUUAUUCAAUUAAGAGCUCUUUGAUAGUAAUUAUGAAAAAUAUUUUUAAUAUUUUCAAUACUUAAAUUUUUUUAUCAUUUAAGCGUUAAAAGUUCAACUUUUCAAAGCUUUUCCUCUUACACCCACACCCCCACAUUCCCCUCUUAAACGCUCCAACUCAUUCAAUUAAGAGUCCAUUUGAUAGUGAUUAUGGAAAACAUUUUUAAUAUUUUCAAUGCUUAAAAUUUUUUAUUAUUUAAGUAUUAAAAAUACUAAAAACAUUUUUUAAAAUAACUUCCAAACACCCUCUUAGUAUAAAGCAAACUAGUCAAUCAAGAGUUGCUAUUGACAAAAAAUUUUAAAAAUAAGUAAUGAGCAAUAAGUUGAAAACAAACAAUCUAAUGUUUGAAAACAAAUAAUAUUCAAAUUAAGUUAAAAAAAAAAAAAGCAAAUACCAUUGUGAUGUUUGAUAAAAUUUAAUACUUAUUAUUUAAUGGUUUAAGUCAAAUCAUUCUUAAGAUAUUAACUUAAAAUUUAUUAUUUACUUUUUAUUUUAAUCAUUAAGAUUGUUUGACAGAAUUAACUUAAAAUUUAUUUUUAAUCGUCAAAUUAAUAUAUUUACCUUUGUUAAUUUUAAUUAAAAUUAAUCUUCAUUCAUUUUAACUUAUUUAUUUUCAUUAAUUUUAAGCAAUAAAUUUCUUUAUAAAACAUCUAUAUUUAAGGUAUCAUAGAUACAUAAAAUAACCAUAACAUAUUUAUUAUAAGAAAUAAAUCAUGGAUGUGGAAUCAUAAUUUUAAAAUAUAUUCUUAUUGGCAUGAGCAAAAAAAAAAAAAAAAAAAUAAAUUAACUAUUUUAACUUAAUCCUUAAAGUUAAACAUGAUUAACUUUAAGUUGUAAUAUUAAAUUGUUUUAUCAAACAUGAUUAAUUUGUUUAAUGACUUAAAUUAAGUUGUUAAGUUGAUUUACCAAACAUCCUCUAGUUAUUGACUUUAAACUUAUUGCUUAAUUUUUAUUUUAAAAUAUUAAGGUUGUAUGAUGAAAUUCAUUUAAAGUUUAUUCUAUAUCAUCAAAUUAGCAUAUUUACCCUUGUUAAUUUUAACUAAUAUUUAUAUUUUCAUUAAUGUUAAGAAAUCAAUUUAUUCAUUAAAAAUUAAUAUUUAAAGUAUUGUACAUAUAUAAAAUAACUACAAAAAUAUUUACCCUCCAAAGAUGAGUUGCAAAUAUAGAGUUAUAGUUAUAAAAUAUAUUUUACUAAAUAUGGGGAAUAUGAGAUAAAAGAGAUUUAAGAUUAAUAAUAAAUUGAUUAUUUUAAUUUAAUACUUAAUUUUAAAAAAUUUAAGUAGUAAUAUUAAGUUAUUUUACCAAAUAUGUUUAAUUUACUUAAUGACUUAAAUUGAUUAUUUAAGUCAUAUUAAAUCAUUAAAUUAAUUUUUUAAAUACCCCUUAAAGAGGUAUUUAUUUAUUUUUACUUAAAUAUAAAUAUAACUUAAUUUUAGAUACAACUUAAUAGUAUUAAAUAUUAAAUUAUUUAUUUUUUAUUAUUUUAUUUCUAUUAAGUAUUAAAUAUUAAUAAGGCGAGGGUCAUAUUAAAAUCAUGUUUUAAUUGUUUCAAAAAGUUAUUUUUAAUAUUAAGGAAAAAGUCAAAAUAUUUUGGAUUUUUCUAUUUAGUCAAUUUUUUUUUAAAAAAUAAGUAAUAAGUAAAAAAAAAAAUUAAAAACAAAUCAUUUAAAGUCUAGAUGCAAAUUGCAUUCAACAUUAAGUUAAAAAAAAAAAACGAAUACCACCUCGAACUCUUAUUAUCAAACUCAAAUAGUUAAUUUUUAAUGCUUUUUGGUUUGCAUGCCCAAUUUUAAGUUAGGCAUUUUAUAUUUUUCUUAACAAAAAAAAAAUGAUUUUCUAAAUUAAAUUGAAUGGCAUUGACCUAAACCAAUUUAGUUAGUUAUUGUCUAUGAAUCUAAUUGGACUAAACAACUUGAAUUUCAUUUGAGAUUUGGUCAGUAUGAUUCUCAGUGCAUCUAAACCAAUUACAUUAAUUUGAUUAGAUUUAGUUUUCAAUGUGAAAUAGUUAUCAUUUGUAUUCAAUUUGAAUUUAUUAGUUAAUGUUCAAAAUGAGAGAUUAAUUUGUGGUCUUAGAAAAUGAGAGUAGUUUUUGUCAAGUUUUAUUUUUAUAUUUGGAUAACCCAAAUGCCAAAAAUAUAUGUUCAUUUCAAUGUUUAAUAACAAUAAAAAUAAAAUUAGAAAAUAAACAUAUUUUUUAUUAUGGUUACAUUUUACAUGAACUUCUUUAUUUAUUUAUUUAUUUUAUAGCCAAAAGUUACAUUUAACUCAUAAAAACAUGAUACAUUUUAAUAUUUACAUUGAAAUUAAAAGUGGAGGAAAAAAUCUUAAAGUAUUUUUUAUAUUUUUUAUUUUAAUUAUUAUUAUUAUUUAAGAUGUCAAUAGUCUUAAUUUUAUUGUUAAAAAAUUAUUUUUACAAAAGUUUCUCAAACAUAUUUGUUAAGCAAGAAAGAAAACUUUUCUUGUUUAUAAAAUAAAAUAGAAAAUUGUUAGAAAAGAGUAAAGACAAUUUCCUUUAUGUUUGGUUAGAACGGAUGAGGCAAAAAGGAGCAAAUAAGAAGGGUAAAACCGUCAGAACAAAUUGGUUAUUUCUAUUUGCGGUAUGGGUGGUUUGGGGAAGACCACUUUGCCCAGAAGGUUUAGCAUGACACCAGUGCAACGAAUUACUUCCAAGGUUUUUCUUGGGCAUAUAUAUAUAUAUAUAUAUAUAUCCCGACAAUGUCAAGCAAAAGAUGUCCAAGUAAUUUUAUUUGAUCUCCUCCGUCCAAACAAAAGUAAAGAGGAAGAGAUGUUACAAAUGUGAUAGACUGAACUUGUUAGGAGAGUGUACGAAGUCCAAAUAAGAUAAAGAUAUUUAAUCAUUCUCAAUGAUGUUUGGACUAAAAAUGCUUGGAAAAGCCUAAGACUUGCAUUCUUAUUGAAACAAGGAGGUUCCAAAAUACUGCUCACUACACGGAAUAAAAAUGUAGCCAUGCAUGCAGAUAUAAAAGGCUUUAUUUAAGAAACUGUGUAGCCAUGUAUGCAAAUACAAAAGACUUCAUUUAUGAACCUCAGUGCUUGACUCUUGAAAUGAGUUUGGAGCUGCUCAAGAAAGCAAUAUUUCUAAGAGGCAGUCCAGGUAUGUAUCUUGAGUCACUCCGCUCUCUAUAUAAAUUGAGCUAUAUUCCAUUAUUAAUUUUUUUGUGACAUAAGGCUUCCAUUGAAUUUCAAUUGUUUAGACAAUUAAUAUCAGCUAGUUUGUUCUUUCUUUGAUUUUCAGAUUUUACACGGGAAAGUCUAAGGAAGCAAAUUGUGACGGACUUAGGUUUCUCCUAAACUCACAUGCAAUAUUUAAACAAUUCAAUACAUUUGAUGUUGUUAAGUCGGUCUUCUCGUUGUACUUAACUUUUUAGGCUAAGUUAGGCACACGACUUGAAAUUUAAGAAAACCAAAGGCAACACUUAAACUAAAGGAAACUUGUAUUACACAAAUGAAUGCUUACAAUGACUAGAUGCUCUCACUUGUUUGGUGUCUUGAUCAAAUGAGACUCACCUAUUUAUUGACACUUUAAGAACUUAAAAUCUUGAAGGGUUCCUUACAAAUCAAGAAUUCUUUAGAACAUCCUACACAAGUCCUAUGCAUAAGUAUUUACAAAAAAUCUUUGAAACUCUCCAGCUCCAUACUCUUCUCUUGUCUUCUAGCUUAGUGUAGAGAUGCGUGAAUAUAUAUAUAUAUAUAUAUAUAUAUAUAUAUAUAUAUAUAUAUAUAUAUAUAUAUAUAUAUAUAUAGAAAGAUUCCUUAUUUUUCAAUCCGAGCCACCUAAGCUUCAACUAGAUGCUUUAUGUAAAAUUAUUUGUAUAUGCACUACAUCAAUGUAAAAGGUUGGAUCUCAUAUAAAUUUUCCUGUCUUAUAGUUUUAAUUUGAUAAAAUUAAAAUGGUAAUAAAACUUCAAUUAAACUAAAUCUGUGGACAAAUACUUUACAAUAAAAUUAUUUAAUAAUAACUAUUAAGUACACAAGUGUAUUAAAAUUAAAAGGAAAACUAGUUAUGAUACGAAGAAGAGAUUAAAAAACAGUUAAUGAUUUAUUGUCGAUGGUCCACCAUUGACAAUCAGCAACAAGUGGAAACGGCCCUGUACUUUUCAGGGUACUAUGAUACUAAUAUGAAACUUGAAAUGAAAAAUAAUAAUGAUGAUGAUAAAAAAAUUAUAAUUUUUGUUGAGAUAUAAGGAAUGUUGAGAUAUUAUGAUAUUAGUUGUUCUUUCCUUAUAUCAUUCUUUCAUUGUAUUAUUCUUUCCCAUUCUUAGACUGGUGAUUAUCCUCUAUAUAUACUCUGUAGAUGAACGAAUGAAAUAAUCAAUGAAAAACUACCAUUCAUCAAUUUGAAGAUGGUAUCAGAGCCAUGAAGCUGAAAUCCUGGAUAUUUUGUCAGUAAGGCCAACCAUCGCCCCUCCUUCGCGAUAAAAAAAAUAAAAAAAAAAUGAAUGAAAAAAAUACUAUUGUUUUUCAAUCUGAAGGUACUUUUAAUCCAUGAAUUAUUUUAACUGAAUCAAACUAUGAUAUUUAGUCACAACUCGUGGAGAUGCAUAUUGUCGAAUGGGAAAAACUUUCCUACAUUCGAGGUAAGACAAAUCCACCAAAAGAGUCAGAAGAUGGAUAUGAAAAAUGGUAUGCUGAAAAUCAAAAGGUGAAAAGAUGGUUGUUAAUGUCCAUGAGUCCAGAAAUUAUGAAACGUUACUUAAGCUUACUGUAGACCCCUAUUUGGGUGCUAUUUCAUGCAGCUCAUUCUGGCCACAUGUCACUCCCGGAUUAGUCAAUAUGGGAUCACUAUAGUGGAAUUGAUGGACUAAUCAGGGGAAGACACCUGUAAAGGGAAAGAAUCUUCUAGAAGGGAAAAAGGUUUUCUGUUAUGGGAAGGUGGCAGAGCAGCUGCAGGGGGAAGAGCAUUUUUGGCUGCAGGGUGAUGGUUACUGGCAGAGAGCUGCAGGAGGGCAGGUGCUUUUGGGGACGUGUUGGAGGAGGCCGUUAGGGAUUUUUUUUGGAGAGUUUAGAGAGACAUUCUUGAGGGGCAAGCUGGAUAUGCAGAGAGGGGAGAGAAAAACGAAAGGAAAAAUCAGAAGAGAGAGGUACUUGGGCUGCUGAAAGGAUUGCCAAGGGAGUCCAGAGGGAGUUUCCAUUAGAGAGGGAGUUGAGAGCUGUUAUUGAGAUAACAGAGGAGGGUUUUUGACCAAGGGUAGAGGAAGCUUAAGUUGCAAAGGAGUGAUAGCAGAGAGCUUUGGGAAAAGAAGUGGUUCCUGGAGCUGCAGAGGAGGUUUUUCUGGAGAGUAUUCCUGGAGCUUAGGCUACUACGGAGGGAAGGCUUAGAGGAGAUAUUCUCUGAUAGCAAGAAGAGGAAACUUUCAGCGCAUUCGCGAUUGCCGCCCAGGUACGCAUCUAUUCAUAUUUUGCUCAUUCUUUAUACAUGCUUUGCUUCUCACAUGUGCAUGAUCACUCUGAGUAUUCAUUGAUUCCCGCAUCAAUUGCUAUGAUUGCUUCAUUUUAUUAUUAAAGACCCGACUUUAUGGACUUAGAGGGGUGCUACGGUCGUUACCGUAUCUUCCCGAUAAGUAACCUGACCCCCGAACCCGAUCCGGUUUUUCGUAGAUUACCUUUUCCAAAAUAAGGAGUCGCACUUAGGGUUUUCUUUCUUAUUUUGUUUACCCUUUUAAAAAAUAAAAAAAUAAGUGGCGACUCCAAGUCAUUUUUCUUAAUCAAUAAAAAUCAUUUUUCAAAUUAAAAUCGAGCUCGCCAUCAAGUGGGAAAAGCAUUGAGCCGAAAUACGGGGUCCACGAAAUCGGCCAUCUUCUUGUCAUGUCAGUUCAGUUUCUAGGACCGCACCUAUACAAUCGGUCAUCAUCUUAUUAGUUUGAGUCGGGGCCGCACCUAUACGAUCGGUCAUCUUCCUGUCAUGUCAGUUCAGUUUCUGGGACCGCACCUAUACGAUCGGUCAUCAUCUUAUCAGUUUGAGUCAGGGCCGCACCUAUACGAUCGGUCAUCAUCUUAUCAGUUUGAGUCGGGGCCGCACCUAUACGAUCGGCCAUCUUCCUGUCAUGUCAGUUCAGUUUCUAAGACCGCACCUAUACGAUCGGUCAUCAUCUUAUCAGUUUGAGUCGGGGCCGCACCUAUACGAUCGGUCAUCAUCUUAUCAGUUUGAGUCGGGACCACACCCAUAUAGAUCGGUCAUUCAUUCUUCCUAUCAGGUCAGUUCGGCGUCCAGGUCUUUGCUUCAGUAUGACAUUCAGGGUCACAUUUCCAUUUUGGGCGUUCAGAUUCAUUUUCUUCCCCUUGUUACCUUAUGCUUAUCGUUUCAUCAUUGCUCUUCUAGACUUCCCCUUCCAUUGCACAUGACAUAGUUCUUUGAGUUCGUGACACAUACUUUUGUCAUGUUAUUAGGCACCCUACACCCAGCAUUCUCGUAUAGCUCACCUAGGGCAGUCUCCUUUGAGCGUAGUCUUUUCUAUACUCUAGGGUGGUUCAACCGUUACUCAUCUUUGACAUCGAUCCUUGAGUCACUUUUGGAGACGUCUUAGAAGGAGCUUGGAUCCUUAGUGUGGCUUCAGAGGCAUUUUGAGACAUCUUUUUCUUUUAAGAUUAGAGCCUUUGUGUUCAUCUGUUAGUCUGAGUGAGUUUAUAUCUCACUAGUGUCCCUAUGGGGGUCUCCUUGGUUUUUCGGUAGAGUUCACUUCAUUGCACUCACUAUUCACACUUACUUUUCACUCCAGUGUUCAUGUUCUUCACACUCGUGAACUCUACCGAAGAGGGGCAUAUUUGUAGACCCCCUUUUAGGUCAUUCCUACCUUGCAGCUCAAUUUAACCACGUGGAAGAGCCUUGGUCAGCCACGUGUCAACACCUGAGAAGCCAUGAGAGAAUCAUAAUAGUGGUUUGGGGAGCCAAUCAGGAGGUGACGCGUACAUGGGAAUAUACUGGCCGUUAGAAGAGCAGAUGCUGGCAGCUGGUGGCAGCUAGAGGUGAGGUGCUUUUGGAGAGGUUUGCCAGCUGCAGGAAGGGUGUCGUCUGGCAGAGUGGAAGGAGGUACCUGGGCUGCUGGCAGGAGCUCUCUGAGCAGGCCGUUGGAGAUAUUUUGAAAAAGGAGGCUUUUCUGAGGGUCUCCAGGAUGGUCUGGGGAGAGGCGGGGGAGAGAUUUUUUUCAAGGAUAUUUUAGUUUCAGAGUUUUCCGGAGAGAACAGAGAGCUAGAGGGAGAGAAGAGAAAAGAAAAAGAAAGAAAUCAGAGGAGAGGGAGAUACCUGAAAAAGGAAGAGAAAAUGAGAGGAGAGCUUUAGAAAGAGGAGGAUAAGAGUUCUUGAGAGUUGAAAAAAAGGCUUAGAGGGGAUUAGCUAGAGAAGAGGGGAGAGCUUUCACAGGAGGUCAAGACAAAGGUGAGAGCAGAGUGUGAUAUUUUUUUGAGGAGGCUACCGGAGAUAUUUGGGGGAUUCUUUGCUUUCCGGUGAGGCAGGGAGAUAUUUGAGAGAACAUCUUCUUAGCUAGAAGAAAAGAACGGAGACAGAGGAGGGAGGAAGCAUCCUCAGGUACCUUCAUCGUGGAUUCCCUGUUAGUUUCUAUCGGUAUGUUUUUCUAUUCUGUUUCCGCUGAUUCUUAGAUGAUGUUUAUUGAUUAGGAGUGAGCAUGUUGAUAUUUUGCUCAUGGUCUUUUUGUAGUUUGAUUUGCUCUUGUUUUGUUCUUUUCAUGAGAUAUUUCCGUAACAGUGUUCUAUCUUUUAUUUGAUACUCGUUUGAUUUCACCCACCCUCACGAGCUCAUUGAUUGAUAUAUGAAAUGAGGCUUGAGUGAGUUCAUGUUGUUCCUAUUGCUUGCACUCUGUUUUUGCUGUCCGCCCUGUUUCUGGUACCCAUACCUGGAGUGCAUUAUUUUUCUCAUUUCUACCUUUGGAAGUAAGGAAUUACAGAGGGUCAUUCUCAGUAGGAGAGUGCUUGGUGAACACUUAGGCACAAAGAUGACAUGUUCAUCAGGGUAGGAAGGCCCUGAGUGUGCAGUUGCUGGGUUGAUUCAUUGCCUGAUAUUAUUGCCAUGCGACACAAGAAAGGUUGUCUCAUCAUUUGAAAAGAAUCUUGCCUGGCAAAAGGCUCUUUGACUAUGGGACUGACGAGUCUUAACCGGAGUUAUGCUCAUCCGUGCAUGGUUAUGAAAUACCAGAUGUGACUGUGUAACAUUGAGGUGUCUCACCUGUGGUAUUGAAGGAGCUAGAAACAGAAAUAUUAGAAGCCUAUGAGCAGGCUCCGGAGUCAGAUAAAUGCUGCGCGGGGUAUACCGUCUAAACAAUCAUCAUGGAUCGGGCCUUGAAAAUUCUUGGGUCAUGGCAAGCCUAGCACCAGAAGGUUUAUGAUUUGACGCUCGUAAUUGUGAUGCUAAAACGGAUGAAUGCGUUUAAUGGAUGGACGGAAUUUCUUCAUAUCUCAUGAUGAGAUCUUAAGAUAAUUUUGAUGCUAUGGGUUUGCAAGAAAGCCGUCUCCGAGCAGCCUGUUUGUGAAUUGGUAGAAUGUCAAACCUCGAUUGCAUGUAGCUUGUAAUCCCGGAGCAGAAUAAUUCACAAUGAGAGGGAAAAUGGAGGAAUUUCUGAUAGACCUAAUGUUGCUGUGGGUGUCUUCCAUAAGUAUUUUUGAAGUCGCAGGACUCUUAUUUCUUGAAUAUCCAGGUCUGGUCGCCUAUUCUUACAGACAUCUAAGGAGCUUGAGAGGAUGGAAAUAGGAUUGCCGGAACGUGGCAGGAUGGUGAUAGGAAACAUUCACCACUGUCAUUACUGUUGAGGGCCACGUGUUGACCAUUAUAUCUUUGCUUGAACUAUUACUGUUUCUGCUAAUUGAGGUGUCAUGCAGCACUGAAUCUCCACACCCAGGUUGAGGUUUAGAUCUUGGGGGACUGCCGAAACUUGCCGGAAAAAAUAUGACAAGGUAACCUCAUACAAACCCUUCUCUCAUAUUAUCCAUCUUCAUUCUUCCCACAUCACCUGCCCAUGUCCUCUCAUCACCUUUCCAAUUUCACACCUCCCCGCACCCGUGACCUUACUCGCAGCUAAACCCAUAAAUCCUUUCUCUCACUACUUCCCUUCCUCCAUCUCUGCAUGCAUGGCUGCUCUACCUCUUUGUGGCGAGACCUAGAAUAUAAAAGCAUCCGAUUGGAAAGUUUGCAAGCUGGGCUUAAAUGGUUUUCCAGAGGAUAAAUCCUUAAAUGGACCCUGUUCCCGUCCGUCGCUCUCGAUCUUCGUGGAAAAUGAAAGCGGGGUCACAUUUGAAACUUCCAAAGUGUCUCAUCUCAGUGCACCAGAAAUGGGUUUUCUAAAGGACAUGUGGAAUCCAUGGUGAUCUCUUGAUAUUGGAUCUUCACGGGAAUAAUAGGAUUGGUCUGUCACGGACCUUUCCUACUGUUGCAGUUCAACAUAAUUGCACCCCUGGGACCCACUUGUGCAUGAACUGCAUGGCCAUCUUCAGGCCACCUGUCUUUCUGCCAUUGCUCUCUCUUAUUUCCUUAUUAUUUAAUUUUGAAAAUAAUUCUUCCAGACCCCAUUUUGUAAAUAACCUUUUUCAAAUUGUGGUUUUUCAAAUAAUUCCAACUCUCCUUAGUUUUUCGUCCUUAGUUUUUUUUUAGGUCCCCAAAAUCACUUUUUUAAUCAAAUUUGCUUCCAAUUCCUAUUCGGCAAGCAAUUUUCAAAUUUAUUUUGGUAUUUUAAAACGUUUUAAAAUAAAUAUGAAUUUAAAUUCCGUAAUCCGGACUAAUGGAAUUUAUGGAAUUAAUUCAUGCAAAAUAAAACGGGCUUUGGUGGGGGCCCCACAUAGGUGAUUUUAUAAUUGAUUGAUUGAUUGUUUGACUGAUUUACUUAUCAUGCAUGAUUGAUUUAAUCUAUUCCUUGAUAUGCGCUUCACUAUAUUUGUUCAUUGUUCACUGAUCCUGCUUCAUGAUAGCGCAUUUGUCACUGAGGAUCCAAGUACGCACCUACUUUCACUCUGGUAAUUAUCCUCUAUUGCAUAUUCUGACACUCAUAUGUGCAUGAUUGAUUCAGGUAUUCAUUGAUUUCUUUAUUAGAUGCCACGAUUGCUUCAUUUUAUUAGUAGAGACCCGACUUUAGGGACUUAGAGGGGUGUCUUUUACCGUACCUUCCCGAUAAGUAAUCUGACCCCCGAACUCGAUCCGGUUUUUCGCAGACCACCUUUUCCAAAACAAGGAGUCACACUUAGGGUUUUUCUUUCUUAUUUUGUUUACCCUUAAAAAAUAAAACAAAAAUAAGUGGCGACUCCAAGUCAAUUUUCAAACAAUAAAUAAAAAAUCAUUUUCAAAUAAAAAUCAAGCUCACCAUUCGAGUGGGAAACGCAUUGAGCCGAAAUGCGGGGUCCACAUUUACCCACUGCUCAAGAAAUUUGGAGUGCAUUAUCAAAGGUCUUCUAUGAUGGAAGUGAUGAAUUACAAGUUUUCACUUUGAAUCAAAAAGCCUUCACUGCCAAACAAAAUGGCAGGUCUCUUUCUGAAUAUCAUGGAGAGCUAACUGAAAUUUUUUGCGAAUUAGAUCAUCGGGAUAAGGUAGUCAUGAAAGACUCUGACAUUGCAGCAUACUAGAAAUCCCUUGAACAACAACGAGUGCACAUCUUUCUUGUUGGAUUGGAUGGUGACUUUGAGCAAGUUUGAGGAGAGAUUUUAGGCAAAGAUCAUCUUCCCAAUUUGGAAGAAUGUUAUACACUGAUUCAACGAGAGGCAGUGCGUUAUGCUAGUAUGAAAGUAGAAUCUGACAACCUUGACACCUCAACUAUGGUAGUCCAACAGCGAUCAACCUAGAAUUGGCAUAACCAAUCUAAGACCAACCAUCCUAAGACAGACCCUAAUAUUAAUAAGUCAACCUUCAAAUGCACUCACUGCAAUAAGACUGGUCAUACCAAGAGUCGUUGCUUUGAAAUUGUGGGAUAUCCAGACUGGUAGGAUCAUAAUCGUGAUCAACGGAAGAAGGAUUCCAAGAAAACCUCGACUGCAGCUGUUGCCGAAAUAAAAACAGAGGCUAAUGUUGCUAAGAAAGCCUCUGCAUUGGUAGCCGCUACAGAUUAUGGUGGUAAGUUUUUAAAUACUUCUACACCUGUUAUUAAUAGUGCAUGGAUAAUUGAUUUUAGUGCUACAGAUCAUAUGACUUUUGAUUCUAGACAGGUCUCACCCCUUAGACAUUCCCUACAAAAAAUUGUUUCCACAACCAAUGGUAACACAACCCCAGUCAUUGGGGAAUGAUCCUUAACUCUUACUGAUACUUUGAAUUUGGAUUAUGUUUUAAUUGUUCUAUCUUUAGAUUACAAUCUUUUAUUAAUUUCUCAAAUCAGUACAACCUUAUCUUGUAUUGUCAUUUUUUGGCCUGAAUUUUGUAUUUUUAAGGACAUCCAAAUAAGAUAGACGAUUGAUUGUGGUAUUAAGCAGGGAAAACUCUAUUACUUGGACUUGCAAUCAAAGGAUUCAAAUAAGUUACGACAAGCCUUGAUGACAGAUGGAUCUGAGGGGGAGAAGAAAAAGUUUGAAAUUUGGUUGUGGCAUCGACGUUUGGGGCAUGCUUCAUUUGGUUAUUUAAAAAAAUUGUUUCCUAGUUUGUUUGCAAAGAGUGAUAUUUCUGGUUUCCGUUGUGAUAUUUGUGAAUUGGCUAAAAGCCAUCGUGCUUCAUUUCCAUUAAUUUUGAAUAAAAGUCUGUUUCCUUUUAUGGUUAUACAUUCUGAUGUUUGGGGCCCAUCCAAAGUCUCAACUUUGAGUGGUUCGUGUUGGUUUGUUACUUUUAUUGAUGAUUGUACCAGAAUGACAUGGUUAUACUUGAUGAAGACCAAAGAUGAAGUGAACUUGUUGUUUCAAAAAUUUCAUAAAAUGAUUGAAACUCAGUACAAUGAAAAGGUUCGAGUUCUACGUAGCGAUAAUGGUGGAGAAUAUCAGAGUUCUAAUCUUCAAAAGUAUUUGGAAGGACAUGGCAUCAUUCAUCAGACUACUUGUUCCAAUACACCCCAACAAAAUGGAGUCGCUGAACGGAAAAAUCGUCACUUGUUAGAGGUUGUUUAUGCUUCCUUGAUAGCAGCAAAAAUACUGAUAUCUUAUUGGGGAGAAACAAUCACAUCUGUCGCAUACUUGAUCAAUCGGGUACCUUUUAGCUCAAUUAAAUUCCAAACACCUCUCCAAGCUCUUAGUAAUGUCGUAGUUGCCCCAACCUUCCCAAAUCUACUCCUCGUGUUUUUGGUUGCGUGGCAUUUGUGCAUCUACACAAACACCAACGCACCAAGUUAACUUCCCGUGCAUUGCAAUGUGUGUUUGUUGGAUAUGCAUUGCACAAAAAGAGAUAUCGAUGCUACCAUUCUCUAACUCGACGAAUGUUUAUUACAAUGGAUAUGGUGUUUCAUGAAGAUUCGAUGUAUUUUUCAUUUGAGUCUGAACUUCAGGGGAAGUACCAGAAGAAAAUUCAGACUCUCGAUUAUGAUUAUCAUAUCUCUGAGGAGGAUGAAUCUGGACAAUCUGAACUAGUGAACCAGGAAGCAGGUGAGUUGGAUAUGAGUGGUACAACUUUGGAACCAAGUAGUAAUGACCACNNNNNNNNNNNNNNNNNNNNNNNNNNNNNNNNNNNNNNNNNNNNNNNNNNNNNNNNNNNNNNNNNNNNNNNNNNNNNNNNNNNNNNNNNNNNNNNNNNNNAAUAGAGGUAUUCCUAAACCCACAUAUGAACUUGAAUUGUCUACCAAAGUCAAAUAUCCCAUCAACAACUAUGUGUCUAACCAUCGUUUGUCUGAAUCAAAUAAGUCAUUUGUAAAUCAAUUAUCUACUUUAGUUAUUCCUAAUAGUGUGCAGGAAGCCUUAGCUGAUCCAAGGUGGAAAGCAGCCAUGAAUGAAAAGAUGAAAUCAUUGCAGAAGAAUGAAACAUGGGAACGCGUAGAAUGUCCACCAGGAAAGAAGCCAGUUGGGUGUCGUUGGAUCUAUACUGUGAAGUACAAGGCAGAUGGUAGUAUUGAACGAUUUAAAGCAAAAUUGGUAGUAAAAGGGUACACUCAAACUUAUGGAAUUGACUACACAGACAUUUGCACCUAUAGCUAAGAUCAACACAAUUCGAGUAUUACCGUCUUUAGCUGCAAACCUGGAUUGGCCAUUACAACAGUUUGAUGUGAAAAAUGUCUUUAUGCAUGGCGAGUUAUCUGAAGAAGUAUAUAUGGAUCUUCCACCAGGAUACAUGGUGUCAGAAAAGCAAUAUCAGAAGGUGUGCAAAUUGAAGAAGUCAUUGUAUGGGUUGAAGCAAUCCCCGAGAGCAUGGUUUGGAAGGUUCACAAAGUCAAUGAGAGCUUUUGGUUAUCGUCAAAGUAAUUUAGAUCACACUUUGUUCCUAAAAAAGCAACAUGGUAAGAUUACAACACUCAUCGUAUAUGUGGAUGACAUGGUAGUUACAGGAAAUGAUCCUGAAGAAAGAAAAGCUUUAUAAAAUUAUCUAUCUAGAGAAUUCGAAAUGAAAGAUCUAGGUCAUCUGAAAUGCUUUCUUGGGAUUGAAGUUUCUCGAUCAAGUGAAUGAAUUUUUCUGUCUCAAAGAAAGUAUGCUUUAGAUCUUUUACAGGAGACUGGAAUGUCGAGAUGUCAACUUAUUGAUACACCAAUAGAAGAAGGUUUGAAAUUGUGUGUUGAGCUUAAUCAAAUAUCAACCAAUAAGGGAAGAUACUAAAGACUUGUGGGGAAAUUAAUGUACUUAGCUCAUACAAGACCAAAUUUUGCUUAUGCAUUGAGUGUAGUAAGUCAAUACAUGCAUAAUCCUGGAGAGCAACAUAUGAAUGCAGUUAUGCGUAUUUUAAGGUAUUUGAAGAAUGCUCCUGGAAAGGGAAUUUUGUUCACUAAAAAUGUUGAUCAUUAGAGUAUAGAAGUAUAUACUGAUAUUGAUUGGGCUGGUGUAGUGGAUGAUAGGCGAUCUACAUCUGGUUACUUUACCUUUGUAGGUGGUAAUCUUGUGACAUGGAAAAGUAAGAAGUAGAAUGUCGUCGCUCAUUCAAGUGCAAAAGCGAAAUUUAGGGGUAUGGCUCUAGGACUUUGUGAGGCAUUAUGGCUAAAACUCCUCUUAUAGGAUUUAGGUUACCUAUCUAGGCAACCAAUCCAAUUGUUUUGUGACAAUAAAGCCGCAUGUGAUAUUGCUGAUAAUCUAGUACAACAUGAUCGUACAAAGCAUGUCGAGGUGGACAAAUUCUUCAUUAAGGAGAAGUUGGAUGAUAAGAUUGUGGAAUUGCCUAAGAUUCGAUCAGAAAAUCAAUUGGUCGAUAUCCUCACCAAAGCUGCAGUCUCAAGUCGAGUGUUCUAAAAAAUUUUAGACAAGUUGGGCAUGUGUGAUGCACCAACUUGAGGGAGAGUGUUGAGAUAUUAGAAAUGUUUAGAUAUUAUGAAAGUUGAGAUAUUAGAAAUGUUGAGAUAUUAGGAUAUUAGUUGUUCUUUCCUUGUAUCAUUUUUUCUCAUUCUUAGAAUGGUGAUUACCUUCUAUAUAUACUCUGUACAUGAACGAAUGAAAUAAUCAAUGAAAAACUACCAUUCAUCAAUUUGAAGAAUUUUAGCAUUUUUUAAAUAAAUAAUAAAUAAAAACACCAUCUUUAAAGGCACCUCCAUUUUAGGUAGGUGCCCACUGAUAAUCACUUACAUGUUGAUUGGGCACUUGCAUGCUUAGGACGGUAUCUAGGAACACGUGUGAUGAGUGGCUCCAGAAUUAAAUGGAAAAUUCUAACGUAUCAAAAGGUGUAUCAUAUCAAAGUGUGGGGUGAGAAAUUAUUUGAGUUUAUAGGAAAAAAAAAUGGAUAGAAAGGAAUAUGAUAUAGAUUUUCUCAAGUUUUUCUUCAAUAUGGUUUUGUCCGAUCCAAGUCUGAUUAUUCUUUGUUUAUCAAAGGAUCUUGAUCUUUUUUGUUGCUUUAUUGGUUUAUGUGGAUGAUAUCAUCAUCACUGAUCCAAACACUCAACUGAUCCAGUUUUUGAAAACGUUUCUUCAUACUCAGUUUAAGCUUAAGGAGUUGGGAUGUUUGAAAUUGUUCAAUCUACCACAGGUAUUGUGUUAUCUCAAAGGCAUUACACGCUUCAACUCCUUGAAGGUGUAGGGACCCCUUCUCUGAUGACACGUGGCACGCACCUCUAUCCGGAUCGACCCUGGCCGUACCCCCCCAAGAGGACACGUGGCGCACACCUCUAUCCGGGUCCCCCAGGGAGGAGCACACGACACUCGCAAGCAUCAUGCCCGGACGGCAAUAUAUCCUACCCGGAUAUAUUGUCCAGAUCAUUGACUAUAGCGAGCAUGCCCUGCUGAGUCAUCCUCGAUAGCCUGCCACCACCCACGUUCCGCCACCUGCAGGGCGAAAGGACAGGAGCGAUGACAAGUCGCCUCCCACGAUCUCUGACAGCCGCCUGCAGGGUGAUGAUGACCCUGCCACCACCUUGAGGGCAUCAUGACGAGCCAAAAAGUCUUCCCACCAUUAAAGAGGGAAGUAGAGCUUCUGACACUAUAUAAAAGGGUCUUCACACAAGGAAGAAAGUAAGCUUGCUAUCCCUGAGAAGAGGCCGACAGCUUAAUCUCUAGAGCCAUGGCUAACAAAAUCAUCGGAGGGUGUGUCCGGACAUCCUGUUCGGACAUCUUUUGCAGGGACAACUGAGCUAGAACUCAAUCUUGGUUGACAGCGUGCGUCCACUUAGCAGCAACGUGGAUCCCUGGGACGCAAGACCUCAACAGAAGGUACUGGGUAUCUUACUUGUAAGCUGACAUCUGCUCCUAUGGAUCCUAAGGUUCAGCUCAGUGCUCAACCUCGGUUACCUCACUUGUAAGCUGUUCAUCACCUUUUUAAGUCCACUCUAGAUCAGGGCCUUUUCUUCUCUUCCUCAUCUUCUCUUCAGUUGAAAGCUUUUUUCAGAUACUAAUUGGGGCUCUUAUUUAAAUACCAAAAAAUCUAUCAUUAGUUUCUUUAUCUUUAUUGGUGAUUUUUUGGUCUAUUGGAAAGCUAAGAAGCAAACCACAAUUUCUUGAUCCUUUGUAGAGGUCGAGUAUAGAACUUUACCUUCUACUACUAGUGAAUUGGUCUGACCACACCAAUUGCUGAAGGACUUUGAAGUUGUUAUUUCCUCUCUUGCACUUUUGUUUUGUGAUAAUCAAACUGUCAUUUAUCUUGCUUCUAAUCCUCUUUUUCAUAGAAGGACCAAACAUAUCAAGAUGGAUUGUCAUUUUGUUCGUGAUAAAGUUGUUUUAUUUGCUUAUUAAAUUGUUUUUCUAAAUAAAAAAUAGAAUAAUGUUAAACUUUUAUAUUUAACCACAAAAAAAAUAGUUAUUGAAUUUUAUUUUUGAGAAUGUUAUAUUAAAAUUAUUUUUAUAAAAAAUAAUAUAUAUAUUUUAAUUUUUUUAUUGGGCAUAUAUAUCCCGAGAAUCUCAAGCAAAAGAUGUUCAAGUAAUUUUAUUUGAUCUCCUAUGUCCAAACAAAAGUAAAGAAGAAGAGUUUUUACGCAUGGGAUAGACUGAACUUGUCAGGAGAGUUUACGAAGUCCAAAUAAGAAAAAGAUAUUUAACCAUUCUCAAUGAUGUUUGGACUAAAAAUGCUUGGGAAAGCCUAAGGUGGUGUUUGUUUUUUUACUUAAUUCUAAAUAGAAUCUUAAUACUUAAUAGUAUUAAAUAUUAGGUUGUUUGUUUUUGUAGUAUUUUAUUUCUAUUAAGUAUUAAAAAGUAAAAAAAAACCAUGAUAUUUUUUCUAUUUAGAAAAAGCCACAUAUUUUGGCUUUUUCUAUUUAGUAAAAAGUUUAUAAUAAGUCAUGAAAAAGUAAAAAAACAAAUAACCUAAAUUCUAAAACUAAAUGAUUUUUAGCAAAAAGCCAAAAAAACAAACACCACCUAAGACUUGCAUUCUUAUGGGAACAAGGAGGUUCCAAAAUACUGCUCACCACACGGAAUAAAAGUGUAGCCAUGCAUGCAGAUACAAAAGGCUUUAUUUAAGAAACUGUGUGGCCAUGUAUCAUGUAUGCAAAUACAAAAGACUUCAUUUAUGAACCUCAGUGCUCGACUCUUGAAAUGAGUUUGGAGCUGCUCAAGAAAGCAAUAUUUCUAAGAGGCAGUCCAGGUAAUUCCUCAUCCAUCCAUCUUUUAACUUCAUUACUGGUAUGUAACUUGAGUCACUCCGCUCUCUAUAUAAAUUGAGCUAUAUUCCAUUGUUAAUUUUUAUGUGACAUAAGGCUUCCAUUGAAUUUCAAUUGUUUAGACAAUUAAUAUCAGCUAGUUUGGUCUUUCUUUGAUUUUCAGAUUUUACACGGGAAAGUCUAAAAAAGCAAAUUGUCACGGACUUAGGUUUCUCCUAAACUCACAUGUAAUGUUUAAACAAUUCAAGACAUUUGAUGUUGUUAAGUCAGUCUUCUUGUCGUACUUAACUUUUUAGGAUAAGUUAGGCACACGACUUGAAAUUUAAGAAAACCAAAGGCAACACUUAAACUAAAGGAAACUUGUAUUACACAAAUGAAUGCUUACAAUGACUAGAUGCUCCCACUUGUUUGGUACCUUGAUCAAAUGAGACCUAUUUAUUGACACUUUAAGAAUUCUUUAAAAUCUUGAAGGUUCCUUACAAAUCAAGAAUUCUUUAGAACAUCCUACACAAGUCCUAUGCAUAAGUAUUUACAAAAAAUAUUUGAAACUCUCCGGCUCCAUAUUCUUCUCUUGUCUUCUAGCUUAGUGUAGAGAUGCGUGAAUAUAUAUAUAUAAAAAGAUUCCUUAUUUUUCAAUCGAGCCACCUAAGCUUCAAUUAGAUGCUUUAUGUAAAAUUAUUUGUAUAUGCACUACAUGAAUGUAAAAAGGUUGGAUCUCAUAUAAAUUUUCCUGUCUUCUAGUUUUAAUUUGAUAAAAUUAAAAUGGUAAUAAAACUUCAAUUGAACUAAAUUUGUGGACAAAUACUUUACAAUAAAAUUAUUUAAUAAUAACUAUUAAGUACACAAGUGUAUUUAAAUACCACUUAUUUAAAUAGUAAGUUAUUAUUGGUGUAUUUAAAUACUCCAAGUGUAUUUAAAUUUUCUUCUCAUCAGUUGAAAGCUUUUUUCAGAUACUAAUUGGGGCUCUUAUUUAAAUACCAAAAAAUCUAUCACUAGUUUCUUUAUCUUUAUUGGUGAUUUUUUGGUCAAUUGGAAAACUAAGAAGCAAACCACAAUUUCUUGAUCCUCUGCAGAGGUCGAGUAUAGAGCUUUACCUUCUACUACUAGUGAAUUGGUCUGACUACACCAAUUGCUAAAGGACUUUGAAGUUGUUAUUUCCUCUCUUGCACUUCUGUUUUGUGAUAAUCAAACUGUCAUUUAUCUUGCUUCUAAUCCUCUUUUUCAUGAGAGGACCAAACAUAUCAAAAUGGAUUGUCAUUUUGUUCGUGAUGAAGUUGCUAAUGGUUUCAUUAAACUAAUGCCUCUUCGCUCUCAACAUCAACUAACUGAUAUUGGAAUUCGGUGGCUACACAUUAGUUAGUGGGGGCUGAUUUCAUGCAAGUUGUUGAUGUGUAAAAACUGAGAAUUUGUGGAUGGGUUUUGUAGAGAAUUUAUAAUAUAAGUGGCUAGGUAAUGAGGCAUGGUGGCUGAAUUUUUUUGUGGAGAAAAUCAUAGAGAUUCUUUAAGAUUUAGACAGGAAGAUUGAGGGGUUGGUGCACAGCCAUAGGAGUUUUUUUUAGAGAUUGGGAAGAUACGGAUUGGUUUUGGGAAGGUUUGAAGAGACCCACGACAUUGAAAAUUUCUUUAAAAACUUUUAGAUUUUUUGGAUAGAAUGCGAAAGGAGAUGUAUAUGGCUGCAAUAGGGGACUUUUGGGAAGGAGUAUCACGACACAUAUUUUGUGGAGGAGGUUUCUCUUAGAUUGGAAGGCAUGUGGGCUGACAUAUUCUGAGAAGGAAAGAUUUACACGGCCAUGGAGAGUUUUUUUCUGGAAAGGUGGGCGGCAUUAAGAGUCGUCCGGGAUAUUUUUAGGAGACGUGGGCUGGAUAUAAAAUGGCUUUGUGCUUAAAAUAUAAACAAAUUUCAAAAUAAGCCUUGAAGUUGGCCCAAUGGUUUUGGACUAAGUUUAAACAAAUUCAACCAAAUGGACCCAAAAGGUUUGAUAUAAUUUUGCUUUUGAACAAACCAACCGUAUUGAUUCGAUCCAAUUUUCUUUCAUAAAGUGAUUGAACCGACUUUUUUAUAACUUUAAUAUUAAAACAUUCCUAAUUUUCCUAACUUCAUCAUUUAAUCAUCCAAGUGUACCAUCCAUGAUUUGCCAUUUUUCCUCUACUUUCUAUACAUUUGUUGACGUGGAUUGAUCCCCUUUGCUAAAAAUUUGAACUGUCGGCAACGGCAGAUUAUCAUAAUCCUCUUGGGCCAUCGCAUCUUCAUUACCUCCCAUAUUUAUUCCUUUAAAUAAGAAUAAUUAUCCCAUUACAAUCACAUUGUGCCAUAAAUCAUUCCUAUUUUGUCUUCAACUUAAGCGUCCAUAUCAUGUAGAUAUUCCAUGUCACCUACCACUUUCCCAUCUGUCAUAUUGGACUGAAUUAAUUACCCGAUUGUACCCUCUAAAUCAUACGUGGAAGUGUAAAAUAACACAAAAAAGAAAUUAAAUUGAUUUUAGAGUCUGUUUUGAUUAGAAUGUUGCACGUCUUGAAGUUCAUGUGCUUCAAAAUUUUAAUUUCAUGAAAGUGACAAAAAAGAGAGAUAGAAACCAAAAGGAAAAAUCAAGGAAGAAAGCAAUACCACCAUAUAAACAUGGUACUCAUUUUAUUAUAAUUACCACACCAUAUUUAAACACAAGGCGCCUAGUAUAAGGAUUUCCUCGAGGCUUCCCCACUUCACAGACGUAAAAUGGGAUCACAGAUGUCAUCCCGCCCUUAGUAGCCUCAGCAAAAGUUAAAGGAUAAAAAAAAAAAAAAAACAUUAGCACAAACUCUAGAUUACAAUAAUAUUAGAGCACCAUAAGCACCAGCUCCGGCCCAUAUGAUCAGUGGUGAUGGUGGGGUGGUCCGGGUUUGUGAGGCUCCGGAGGCCCGUGAGGCCCCGGAGGUCCGUGAGGCCCCGGAGGUCCGUGAGGCCCCGGAGGCCCGUGAGGCUCCGGAGGUCCGUGAGGCCCCGGAGGUCCGUGAGGCCCCGGAGGCCCGUGAGGCCCCGGAGGCCCGUGAGGCUCCGGAGGUCCGUGAGGCCCCGGGGGGCCAGGAGGUGGUGGAUGGGGCUGUGGGUGAGGGUGGCCGUGGGGACCUGGCGGUGGUGGGUUAUUCAUCUCUCUUCCUCUUUACCUUCCUUCUUGUUCUUCUUGUUCUUCUUGGUUGCUGCGGCGAAUGGUACGAGGGGCGCUUGCGAAUUUAUAGUGGCAAACGGUGGGUGGGAAUCUCUUCGCCCAUUGGUAAGUUCAAAACUACAAGUCAACAAUGUGGUAGCUGUGUCUACCUAGAAUUUAAUAGAAUCAUCCGGAUGAAACUGGUUUUCUAUUCUUUUGGCUUUUGUUUUUUCUUCAAUUUAAUGUUAUUUUGCUUUGAAUUUAGUCAAUUUACUAACAGAACCGUCCACGUACAAAUCCUAUCUCCUCGUCUUCCUCCCUCUGUUCGACACCUGUCUCUCCAUUUCUCAUGUCACAUCCCACUAUUGAUAAUGACAACCAAUAUAGAACAAAGACGUUGACCUAAAAUCAAUCCAGACAGGCUGGCCCAAGCCCAGAGUUGGGUUGGUUUUGGGCCGAACAUAGAGUCCACGCCAAGCCAGGUGAAGUUCCUUGAACUUUCGUUGGAACAAGCGUCGGUGAGCCCAUUACUUCGAUUCCUGGAUUAGAAUAAAGCGACUUAUCUUCAGUGAAAAAGGUCAAUCCAAUGACUACCAUACCUUUCCAGCUUCACAGCCAUUGCGAUCAGUUCCGCGUGGGAUGAAGUUACUUUGCCUCUAAUUAACAUUUAUAAAUUAAUAGUAACUUUUAAUAAAUUAAUUAAGAACAUUUGGAGUUUAACAUCAAAAUCACUAUAGUUUUCUUCCUUCCCAAGUAAAAGAAAAAAAAAAAGAAAAAAAAAAGGGCAAGAAGUGGCAAUGACAAGUAACAGCCCUUUCAAACAGGGAACAUGUUGGGAACCGACGUGGCACCCAAAUUGGGUGUCAAGGGCAAUGGGGCAUGAGGAUUUCAAACUAAACGUUUGGGUUUCAAAAUUGAAACGAUGGGCACUUGGGUGCCUCCAUUUUUAGGGCACCUGACACACGUGGCGCAUGAACCGGGCCUCAAAAAGUUCAAAAUGGCGUGGGCGAGGGGGGUCUGAACGAGGACAGCAGGCCCUAUUUUUGUUUUCCAGUAAUGCCCCCAAAAUUGUCUCAAAUAAUUGAGAGAUGAGUCGUGGAGAAAGAGAGAAAAGGGUCGCCCUCUGAAUUGGUUAUGUUGCCAUUAUCAUCAUUUCUCAUCUUCCCCUGAAACCAAACACACCGCUCCUUCUCUCUCC
This 39780-nucleotide long non-coding RNA is filed under the name Vitis vinifera (wine grape). RNAcentral describes it as "long non-coding RNA (VVIN_LNC003452)". The record is from RNAcentral. Lineage: Eukaryota; Viridiplantae; Streptophyta; Magnoliopsida; Vitales; Vitaceae.